Molecule: ribosomal RNA, 253 nt
Filed under: uncultured bacterium
Lineage: Bacteria
Description: partial 16S ribosomal RNA
Rfam family: Bacterial small subunit ribosomal RNA
Source: RNAcentral
UACGGAGGAUCCAAGCGUUAUCCGGAUUUAUUGGGUUUAAAGGGUGCGUAGGCGGCCUGUUAAGUCAGGGGUGAAAGACGGUAGCUCAACUAUCGCAGUGCCCUUGAUACUGAUGGGCUUGAAUGGACUAGAGGUAGGCGGAAUGUGACAAGUAGCGGUGAAAUGCAUAGAUAUGUCACAGAACACCGAUUGCGAAGGCAGCUUACUAUGGUCUUAUUGACGCUGAGGCACGAAAGCGUGGGGAUCAAACAGG